GAUGAAGAACGUAGCGAAAUGCGAUAAGUAAUGUGAAUUGCAGAAUUCAGUGAAUCAUCGAAUCUUUGAACGCACAUUGCGCCCAUUAGUAUUCUAGUGGGCAUGCCUGUUCGAGCGUCAUUAAGUCCACUUAAGCCCUGCUUAGUGUUGGGAAUCUACUCUAGUGGUGCUACCCUGGAGCUACCCCUGAAAGGGGGCUGGCCCGGUAGCUACCCUGUAGUUCCUCAAAGAUAGUGCGCGGAGUUGCGUGGUCCUCUGAGCUUAGUAACUAUACACCUAGCUUUUAAGUGUCCCGCGGCGCCUGCCGUUUAAACCCCAUCUUUUAAUGGUUGACCUCGGAUCAGGUAGGAAUACCCGCUGAACUUAAGCAUAUCAAUAAGCGGAGGA
RNAcentral lists this unclassified non-coding RNA (387 nucleotides) under soil metagenome. RNAcentral's name for it is "partial contains 5.8S ribosomal RNA, internal transcribed spacer 2, and large subunit ribosomal RNA". The stretch from base 1 to 120 matches the Rfam family "5.8S ribosomal RNA", at positions 35 to 154 of the family's 154-position model. The record is from RNAcentral.